CCGGCGCCGAGUUCCUGGGCUCCCUCAUCGCCCGUCCGCCCACCCUGUCAGCAGCACAACGCCGAGGCUCCGGAGCCCGAACAGGCCACACUCAGAUACUGCACACUACAGCAACUGAUGUCGAUGGUGGAAGGAAUGAAUGCUGUACCCAUCCAGGAAAGUGGGGUGUAUUCCAUCACACUCCUGACUAGUGCUUGUAGAUGAUGGACAGGCGUUGGGGAUUCAGGAGGCUCCACGGGCAGCAACUACCUUCACCUUUCAUCUAUGGAAGCUGGCACCAGUGAAACACCAGCCUCACCACAUCAUCAUGGCUGAUCUUGGACAGACUCGUAAGACACUUCAGCACUUGACCCGCUACAUUUUGGAGCUGACCAACACCUUACAGUGUAAAGCUCCUACAGGGAGAUCUGUGCAGAGACACACUCAUGCCACACACAUCCGCACAUAGUGUAAUUGAUGCUCUUAGCCCCUACUUUCUUAACACUUACUCACUUUGCACUUAGAAGUAUUCUCAUAACUUCUCUGGUUUGCUUUGUCUUUUAGCAGCUUGCCACUUCAAUGAGAACUUACAAGUUCACAGUAUCUAUGACUUAAUUUAUUUGUUAGUGUUACAGAGAAGCCGCAGUUUGUCAUGGCUACUAGCACUGAACAGUCAAGUGGAUGAUCAUAUUGUAGAGCAGAGUGCUACUCCAAUGAUCCCUGGAAUGAUAGGCCUAACGUACGAUGACCGGCUGAGGAUCAUGGGAUUGUAUUCAUUAGAGUUUAGAAGGUUGAGGGGAGAUCUAAUAGAAACAUACAAGAUAAUGCAUGGCUUAGAAAGGGUGGACACUGGGAGGUUGUGUUCGUUAGGCGGGGAGAUUGGGACCCAUGGGCACAGCCUUAGAAUUAGAGGGGGUAAAUUUAGAACGGGAAUGAGGAGACAUUUCUUCAGCCAGAGAGUGGUAGGCCUGUGGAAUUCAUUGCCACAGAGUGCAAUGUGUAGUCUCUUACUUUGAGAUUAUGCCUUCUGGUCCUAAACUCUCUCACAAUAAGGAAAACAAUUUUUCCAUAUCCACCCUGACAAAUGCCCUAAGAACCUUUGAUGUUUUAAUAAGCUUAAUCAGGCCCAAUCUACUCAAUCUGUCCUGAUAAGAAGGCCUCUCCAUAGUCAAUGUCAGCCGAGUGAACCUUCUCUGAUCUAACUCCAUUGACAUUAUAUCUUAGAUAAAGGGCUCAAAACUGCUCACAAUAUUCCAGGUGUGGUCUGACUAGGGGUCUAGCAUACUUUCAGCAAAACCUCCCCACUUUUAUGCUCUAUUCCAUUUGAUAUAAAGACCAACAUGCAUUUGCCUUCCUCAUUACCCGCUGAACUUGGAUGUUAGCAUUUUUGUGAUUUAAAGACAAGGCCUCCCAAUUCAAUUGGCGUACCCGGAUGGCCUUGAUAAGAAAUGACUUUAAAUUGGCCCAAAGUCGAACCUACCAACCUUGUAUUUUCAGAAAUCCGGUCUGAGACUGAAUUAAGAAGGCAGCAGCCACAUGUGACAGCCAGAGAUUCAAUUGGGUCGCCGAGGACAGAGGCAAUAAAUUAUCAGAUUUAAUUGGAACAUUUACGUUUUCGGUAUUAUUAAAAUUGACUUUGGACUUAGCUUUGAAAAUCAUGGCAGACAAUCAAUCCGAAUGGGAGAGCUUGGUUAAGCGAUAUUUUAAUAUGAAGUUACUGAAAUGGAUAGAGCAUCAGGAAGCUUGUGAUGUUACAAGCCCUGGGACACCGGAUCAUAUGUUAGAGUCAGUCAGGAAAUCCAUGGGAAAAAUGCACACAAACAGGACAGACUGAUGAGAUAUUGUUGUCUUUUCGCACAAACUUGGUACAUGAUACAUGGGAUGAAGCAGAAAAAUGCUGAGAUAAGUGAGUUAAAUUCAGAAAAUAUGGAAUUGCGUCAGAAAUGGCAGAACUUGAUGCCCUAGAAAAUGUCAGUCAGGAAAGGGGUGUUUUCAAAUUAGAAAACACUGAGAAAGGUUAAAUCCCUAGAGACUGCCAAUCAAAAGAAGAUAGUUUACCUCAGAGAUAAUGGGAACUGCAGAUGCUGGAGAAUCCAAGAUAACAGAACACAGCAGGCCAAGCAUCAUCUCAG
Stegostoma tigrinum is the source of this 2111-nucleotide long non-coding RNA. RefSeq lists it as uncharacterized. NCBI's taxonomy places the organism in Eukaryota, Metazoa, Chordata, Chondrichthyes, Orectolobiformes, Stegostomatidae. The record is from RefSeq and is a predicted model, not a curated record. The transcript is spliced from 3 exons.